RNAcentral lists this ribosomal RNA (233 nucleotides) under uncultured bacterium. Its description in RNAcentral is "partial 16S ribosomal RNA". It matches the Rfam family "Bacterial small subunit ribosomal RNA", at positions 118 to 351 of the family's 1533-position model. The record is from RNAcentral.
UGAGUAACCUGCCCUUAACUCUGGGAUAAGCCUGGGAAACUGGGUCUAAUACCGGAUACGACCUCAGCGGACAUCUGCAUGAGGUGGAAAGCUCCGGCGGUCAUGGAUGGGCUCGCGGCCUAUCAGCUUGUUGGUGAGGUAACGGCUCACCAAGGCGUCGACGGGUAGCCGGCCUGAGAGGGCGACCGGCCAUACUGGGACUGAGACACGGCCCAGACUCCUACGGGAGGNAG